UCGGGAAUUUUGGGCAAUGGGCGAAAGCCUGACCCAGCAACGCCGCGUGAAGGAUGAAGUAUUUCGGUAUGUAAACUUCGUAAGAAUAGGAAGAAUAAAUGACGGUACUAUUUGUAAGGUCCGGCUAACUACGUGCCAGCAGCCGCGGUAAUACGUAGGGACCAAGCGUUAAUCGGAAUUACUGGGCGUAAAGCGCGCGUAGGUGGUUAGUUAAGUUGGAUGUGAAAUCCCCGGGCUCAACCUGGGAACUGCAUUCAAAACUGACUGACUAGAGUAUGGUAGAGGGUGGUGGAAUUUCCUGUGUAGCGGUGAAAUGCGUAGAUAUAGGAAGGAACACCAGUGGCGAAGGCGGCCAACUGGCUCGAUACUGACGCUGAGGUGCGAAAGCGUGGGGAGCAAACAGGAUUAGAUACCCCAGUAGUCCCUGAGCGGGCUGGCAAGGCGCAU
RNAcentral lists this ribosomal RNA (447 nucleotides) under uncultured bacterium. RNAcentral's name for it is "bacterial SSU rRNA". It matches the Rfam family "Bacterial small subunit ribosomal RNA", at positions 355 to 825 of the family's 1533-position model. The record is from RNAcentral.